GAUGAACGCUGGCGGCGUGCCUAAUACAUGCAAGUCGGGCGAACGGACGAGAAGCUUGCUUCUCUGAUGUUAGCGGCGGACGGGUGAGUAACACGUGGAUAACCUACCUAUAAGACUGGGAUAACUUCGGGAAACCGGAGCUAAUACCGGAUAAUAUUUUGAACCGCAUGGUACAAAAGUGAAAGACGGUCUUGCUGUCACUUAUAGAUGGAUCCGCGCUGCAUUAGCUAGUUGGUAAGGUAACGGCUUACCAAGGCAACGAUGCAUAGCCGACCUGAGAGGGUGAUCGGCCACACUGGAACUGAGACACGGUCCAGACUCCUACGGGAGGCAGCAGUAGGGAAUCUUCCGCAAUGGGCGAAAGCCUGACGGAGCAACGCCGCGUGAGUGAUGAAGGUCUUCGGAUCGUAAAACUCUGUUAUUAGGGAAGAACAUAUGUGUAAGUAACUGUGCACAUCUUGACGGUACCUAAUCAGAAAGCCACGGCUAACUACGUG
RNAcentral lists this ribosomal RNA (497 nucleotides) under uncultured bacterium. Its description in RNAcentral is "partial 16S ribosomal RNA". It matches the Rfam family "Bacterial small subunit ribosomal RNA", at positions 28 to 507 of the family's 1533-position model. The record is from RNAcentral.